GGCCCCAUCGUCUAGCGGUCCAGGACUCUGCCCUUUCACGGCAGCAACACGGGUUCGAACCCCGUUGGGGUCA
Molecule: transfer RNA, 73 nt
Filed under: Epidermidibacterium keratini
Lineage: Bacteria; Bacillati; Actinomycetota; Actinomycetes; Sporichthyales; Sporichthyaceae
Also listed under: 1 other name
Rfam family: tRNA
About the family: Transfer RNA (tRNA) molecules are approximately 80 nucleotides in length. Their secondary structure includes four short double-helical elements and three loops (D, anti-codon, and T loops).
Source: Rfam by way of RNAcentral